Molecule: non-coding RNA, 120 nt
Filed under: Peptococcaceae bacterium
Lineage: Bacteria; Bacillati; Bacillota; Clostridia; Eubacteriales; Peptococcaceae
Description: MoCo sequence
Rfam family: Molybdenum/Tungsten riboswitch aptamer (Moco RNA motif)
Source: RNAcentral
ACUGAAUAAAAUCUCCGAGCCCGUUUGCCUAAGCUGAACAGUACCGGCAUACGGGCCGAUAGGGUAUACUGGGAAACCGGCAUGCCUCCCGUUGCGGAAAGGAGAUAAUGUGACUUUGGC